GAUGAACGCUAGCUACAGGCUUAGCACAUGCAAGUCGAGGGGAAACGGCAUUGAGUGCUUGCACUCUUUGGACGUCGACCGGCGCACGGGUGAGUAACGCGUAUCCAACCUUCCCAUUACUGUGGGAUAACCUGCCGAAAGGCAGACUAAUACCGCAUAGUCUUCGAUGACGGCAUCAGAUUUGAAGUAAAGAUUUAUCGGUAAUGGAUGGGGAUGCGUCUGAUUAGCUUGUUGGCGGGGUAACGGCCCACCAAGGCUACGAUCAGUAGGGGUUCUGAGAGGAAGGUCCCCCACAUUGGAACUGAGACACGGUCCAAACUCCUACGGGAGGCAGCAGUGAGGAAUAUUGGUCAAUGGACGGAAGUCUGAACCAGCCAAGUAGCGUGCAGGAUGACGGCCCUAUGGGUUGUAAACUGCUUUUGUAUGGGGAUAAAGUUAGGGACGUGUCCCUAUUUGCAGGUACCAUACGAAUAAGGACCGGCUAAUUCCGUG
RNAcentral lists this ribosomal RNA (492 nucleotides) under uncultured bacterium. Its description in RNAcentral is "partial 16S ribosomal RNA". It matches the Rfam family "Bacterial small subunit ribosomal RNA", at positions 28 to 507 of the family's 1533-position model. The record is from RNAcentral.